Molecule: ribosomal RNA, 253 nt
Filed under: uncultured bacterium
Lineage: Bacteria
Description: partial 16S ribosomal RNA
Rfam family: Bacterial small subunit ribosomal RNA
Source: RNAcentral
UACGAAGGGGGCUAGCGUUGCUCGAAAUCACUGGGCGUAAAGCGCACGUAGGCGGACUCUUAAGUCGGUGGUGAAAUCCUGGAGCUCAACUCCAGAACUGCCUUCGAUACUGAGAGUCUCGAGUCCGGGAGAGGUGAGUGGAACUGCGAGUGUAGAGGUGAAAUUCGUAGAUAUUCGCAAGAACACCAGUGGCGAAGGCGGCUCACUGGCCCGGUACUGACGCUGAGGUGCGAAAGCGUGGGGAGCGAACAGG